GGAGUUAUGGCUCAGUGGUAGAGCACUUGCCUCACACAUGCAAGACUCUGGGUUCAAUCCUCAGCACCA
RNAcentral lists this transfer RNA (69 nucleotides) under Ictidomys tridecemlineatus (thirteen-lined ground squirrel). RNAcentral describes it as "Spermophilus tridecemlineatus (thirteen-lined ground squirrel) tRNA". It matches the Rfam family "tRNA". Rfam says of the family: Transfer RNA (tRNA) molecules are approximately 80 nucleotides in length. Lineage: Eukaryota; Metazoa; Chordata; Mammalia; Rodentia; Sciuridae. The record is from Rfam by way of RNAcentral.